ACGAACACAGAAAUUGCAAAACCAAACACAAAGUCAAAAAAAAAAAAAAAAAACCCUAUAAUUUACCGGUAUUUUGAAAAAGAGCCCAAGAUCUGCAAAAUCAAUUUCACCUACGACCCCCAGAUCCCUGACCCCAAUGGCGAAGCUGGAAGCGCUGGACGAACCCAAGGACGAGAAGGCCACCGCCACCAACAAGAAGAACAAGUACAAGAAGAGGAAUCACGGGUCAACGAAUCUCUUCGUCGUCGUUGAUUACCUUUUCCUCCUCAUAUUCUUUGGGUUCCUCUGCUUCAUUCUCUGCGAGAUCGUUGGCAUUUGAUUCCUAAAGACGACCCAUAUUUCUUUUAGCCAGUUCUUUUGCUGGGAAUUUGUGUGACAUAUCUUGGCUGCAAUGUUCGAAACAGUUCCAAGCUGGAAGGCACUUGCCGGAGUUGGCUUGGUCAGAUUCAGAUCAUGUGAUUUUAGAGUUGUAAUGUAUUUCUUGAUUUUGAGGAAUCAUGUGCCUUUGUUAUAAAAGAAAUUUUGAUACUAUAUUUUUUGUCUUCUAGUCUCUUUCCUAUUGGCUUUUCUUCAUGUAUUGUGUGAUGGAUAGAAUCUUUUGUGGAAUUAAUGAAUGAUGUUAUCUGAGAUCUGUUUUCGCUAUUAACUUCUA
Molecule: long non-coding RNA, 652 nt
Organism: Alnus glutinosa
Lineage: Eukaryota; Viridiplantae; Streptophyta; Magnoliopsida; Fagales; Betulaceae
Exons: 2
Source: RefSeq, a predicted model, not a curated record